This 98-nucleotide microRNA precursor is filed under the name Chlorocebus sabaeus (green monkey). RNAcentral's name for it is "miRNA (ENSCSAG00000024026.1)". The record is from RNAcentral. Lineage: Eukaryota; Metazoa; Chordata; Mammalia; Primates; Cercopithecidae.
AGGUGGGAGGGUGGUUUGAGCCUGGGAGGUGGAGGUUGCAGUGAGCUAAGAUCAAGCCACUGCACUCCAGCCUGGGCAACAGAGUCAGACCCUGUCUC